CCGAUGGCUCCCGCAGAUCGCGGGGCUUGUCAGCCUCUGUAACCGUGUGAGCCAGUCUCCUCGCCCUCCCUCUUCUGGCUGUAUCUGCGUGUUCGUGUCUAUGAGGACGUGGGUCCUGUUUCCUUCUGGCUGUUUCUCUGGAGAACUCUGGCUCCUGCCCUCUGCUUAGUUGUCUGUGGCUCUGAGUCGUGGCCAAGCUGCAAGUUCUUGUCUGCAGUCGAAGGACCAACAGCGGUACCAUCACCUGCCAUCGCCCGCUCCACUCACCAGGACGCCAGUUGGGACUUCUGCUCCACCCUGACUGUGAGGCAGCCCCCCGGGGAUCCUGCUAAGACACGGCUGCUGACUCAGGAGACGGGGGUGCCCGAAACCCUGCAUUUCUAACAAACUCCCAGGAAAGGCCAUAAUCCUGGUCCUUGGGCCAGAGUUUGAGAAGCUAAAAAUAAAUAACUUACAGGGUCCCUUGCCUUUCCUCAAAGUCUGGUGGUAUUGUCUAGUAAUAAGCGCUCUCAGUACCCAGCACGGAGAACACGAUGGUUCAACAAGGGCUGGAGGCAAAGGAGAUGCAGUGUGUCUUCCAAAAUUACCAGCUCUAAUGAACGGCCGUGCCUCCGCCUGGGAGGAGAGCUGCCUCCAGCCAGCUCAUGUGCAGGCGCUUCUCCUCUGGGAUUUACGUUGUUGCUGUGUGGUAGCUUCUUUGGAAAAUUGCUUGCUUUAUUGCCCCAACACAUUUUUGUCUCAUUAUGGGACACAAUAAAAGAUAAUGAGUUAAUGGUUGAAAGAAA
This is a long non-coding RNA of Callithrix jacchus (white-tufted-ear marmoset), 785 nucleotides long. RefSeq lists it as uncharacterized. The record is from RefSeq and is a predicted model, not a curated record. Lineage: Eukaryota; Metazoa; Chordata; Mammalia; Primates; Cebidae.